This 77-nucleotide transfer RNA is filed under the name Marinomonas agarivorans. RNAcentral describes it as "Marinomonas sp. QM202 tRNA-Met". It matches the Rfam family "tRNA". Rfam says of the family: Transfer RNA (tRNA) molecules are approximately 80 nucleotides in length. Their secondary structure includes four short double-helical elements and three loops (D, anti-codon, and T loops). Lineage: Bacteria; Pseudomonadati; Pseudomonadota; Gammaproteobacteria; Oceanospirillales; Oceanospirillaceae. RNAcentral also lists the same sequence under 1 other name. The record is from RNAcentral.
GGGCCUGUAGCUCAGUUGGUUAGAGCAUCCGACUCAUAAUCGGCAGGUCCCGUGUUCGAGUCACGGCAGGCCCACCA